GAUGAAGAACGCAGCGAAAUGCGAUACGUAAUGUGAAUUGCAGAUUUCAGUGAAUCAUCGAAUCUUUGAACGCACAUUGCGCCCGCCAGUAUUCUGGCGGGCAUGCCUGUCCGAGCGUCAUUUCAACCCUCGAACCCCUCCGGGGGGUCGGCGUUGGGGACCUCGGGAGCCCCUAAGACGGGAUCCCGGCCCCGAAAUACAGUGGCGGUCUCGCCGCAGCCUCUCCUGCGCAGUAGUUUGCACAACUCGCACCGGGAGCGCGGCGCGUCCACGUCCGUAAAACACCCAACUUCUGAAAUGUUGACCUCGGAUCAGGUAGGAAUACCCGCUGAACUUAAGCAUAUCAAUAAGCGGAGGA
This 358-nucleotide unclassified non-coding RNA is filed under the name soil metagenome. RNAcentral's name for it is "partial contains 5.8S ribosomal RNA, internal transcribed spacer 2, and large subunit ribosomal RNA". The stretch from base 1 to 120 matches the Rfam family "5.8S ribosomal RNA", at positions 35 to 154 of the family's 154-position model. The record is from RNAcentral.